UACGUAGGGUGCGAGCGUUAAUCGGAAUUACUGGGCGUAAAGCGUGCGCAGGCGGUUUUGUAAGCCGGAUGUGAAAUCCCCGGGCUUAACCUGGGAAUGGCAUUCGGGACUGCAAGGCUGGAGUGCGGCAGAGGAGACUGGAAUUCCUGGUGUAGCAGUGAAAUGCGUAGAUAUCAGGAGGAACACCGGUGGCGAAGGCGGCGACCUGGUCCUUGACUGACGCUGAGGCGCGAAAGCGUGGGGAGCAAACAGG
This 253-nucleotide ribosomal RNA is filed under the name uncultured bacterium. RNAcentral describes it as "partial 16S ribosomal RNA". It matches the Rfam family "Bacterial small subunit ribosomal RNA", at positions 524 to 776 of the family's 1533-position model. The record is from RNAcentral.